UAGAAGGACUAUGCCUUAGAAGUUAAGAGUCUUCCCAGGAUUAAGGGUGUGUGCUUGGUCUAGAGGCAAAAAAACAGACCUGCCCUAACAAAACCUAAGACCAAGCCUCCAAUAACUCAAGUGGGCCUGCCAGUAAUUUAACUGCCUGACAGAACAAAACCUAACAGUCUUCAGAGAAAGUUAACAAUUCAGAGUCUCUACAACGUAUCGUUUACAGGGAGUGGCCAAAAGGUCCUCAGCGGGGGAAACUGAAUUCCAUGCACCAAUCCUCUCCAGCUCUCUAUGGAAGGAAGUACAUGAAGUCCGCUGAAAUGUGUCUUUCUCAGUAAAAAUCAACCCUCCUGGCAAAACUUUACAUUACAAAGGAGGACGCACAGGAUUAUAUAGUCAAGCUAUAAGACUCAACCAAUCACGGGGCCUCUGAGAAUGCUUCAGGAGGAAGUAAUAUUCAAACUAGAAUUAGGAGAACCAGCAAGCCUGAGCCAGAAGGAGGGAAAAGUAUAUGAAAUGCUUGGGAUUGAGAGAGAAUAUGGAUGCUGCUGGAGCAAGAUGAUUUUACAGAAGAGCAGUUCUCACUCAGGGGACAUCUGGCAACGUCUGGAGACAUUUUGACCACCACAACUAGGAGGAUGCUACAGAGAUGCUGUUAACCAUCCUACAAUUCACAAGACAGACUCCCACAAAAAGAAUUAUUCCAUCCCAAAUGUCAUUACUGCCAAGACUGAGAAGCCCUGUUCUAGAAGCUCAUUGACCUGGUCUGUGGAUACUAGUAACUUUAGUGUUUUCUUCCCAAGGAUUCCUGUCAAAGAAUACAAGUUUCUAAAGCUAACAUCAAAGAACCCUGUUAUUAUCAUACAACUGAAUGAAACUAAAAUCUGAAAAUACCAAGUUGCACAGAUAUGGGAAGAUAUAGGAACUAUAGCUUUUACUUGUGACUUGCAUGUGGGAAAACUAAUCAGACAAUCUCAGGGGUGGUAGUGCAUGAGUUCCAUGAUGCCCUGAACACAAACCAAUCCAAUUAUGUAAGAGAUAAUCAAGUAUUACCAGACCUGGAGUUCCUUAAUGUUUUGUGAGCAGAAUGGUAUUCAGUACUACUGAUUGCUGAUUUUUUCUGUUAAUGAGAUAACUAAGUGGGGGUCACAUGCUCUCAUCCUCUGACUGCAGUCAUGUAGAGAGGUGCUCUGCUGUCCAAAGGAGAGAGGGAAGACAUGAGAUUUGCCUGAAGCGGAGCGCCAUGCCGGCUUUUUCCUCCUAGAAGUGAACCUCCCUUGUCUUGAGACUCUGCUCUGACCCAAAACCAGGGCUGGAUGCUGAAAGCCAACAGGAGCCAAGGACCAGGUUUGAGACGAAGGUCCAGUUAGACUGGGGUUCUGAUAGAGAUGGGCACAUGUGGCAAACAAGCAAGACAACUCUAUUUGGAUGGAGAACCAAAGAGCCUCCCAAGAGAGUACCGAAAGUCAUAACAAGAGUGAGAGUGAAAGCCGGUGGAGUGAGGGGUGGGAGGGAAGCACUUACCCAAAUGAGCCAGAGCCAGGCUAGUUUUCUGCUCAAAGUGUGGUCUAUCAAUCAGCAGCAGCAGCAUCACUUGCAAACUUAGAAAUGCAGGUCAGGUCCCAUUCCUGACUCACUGACUUGGAGUCUGUGUUUUAACAAGAUCUCCAGGUAAAGUCUAAGAAGCACGGAUUGUGCCCUAGGAUGAGGGAAAAGGGGUGACGUACUGAUACAGGUGGAUUACAGCAGACUGUCUCCCCACCUGGCCUCUCAGGUUCAAACCUAAAUGCUGUGGAACCCCCAGAAGAGUUGUUUCACUGAAACCCUUUUAACUGGGUGAGAAAAGGAGAGACGUGGCUUUGGUAUACAGAAAGCACAUUACACACACUGAUGGCGGGUGUUCCCUCCCACUUUGCCAAACACAGCUGUGGCACCUCUCCAUCAGUAUUCAAGGCUCUGUUCAGGCUCCUCAAACAUCUGCCCUCUCCCUCUCAGCAGACGAAUUCAUGCAGAGUUGACCUAAGCAAUCAGAUAGGAAUACUUUCAACUUUCUUGUGCAAAACUCAGAAAUGCGCCUGGUUUCCUCCCACACACAUCCCAGCAGGAGAGGAGGACUCCUGCGCAGGCUGAAUCCUGGGGCCCAGGCUGAUCAGCUGUUCUCUUCGCUGGCUCUGUCCUGGUGGCACUGCAACAAGCUGAAUCCUCUUCCAGAUUUACUUUAAAAGAAGAACAGGGACUCCUUCUAGCCACCAUAACCUCCAAUUAAUACCCUGUAAACUUUCCUUUUCAGUCAUGUUGACUUCAAAAUAACCUGCUUACUACAACAUUUCUAAUGUACAAGAAUAUCUGUGUACCUACUACCUAGAUUGGACACAUCUUAAACUUGUCUAUAUUUGUUUCAGAUAUACUUGUA
Molecule: long non-coding RNA, 2404 nt
Organism: Bos taurus (domestic cattle)
Lineage: Eukaryota; Metazoa; Chordata; Mammalia; Artiodactyla; Bovidae
Source: Ensembl